Long non-coding RNA from Zea mays, 4259 nucleotides. RefSeq lists it as uncharacterized. Lineage: Eukaryota; Viridiplantae; Streptophyta; Magnoliopsida; Poales; Poaceae. The record is from RefSeq and is a predicted model, not a curated record. The transcript has 2 exons.
CCCCGCCCCGCCCCUCACUCCGCUCCCACUUCGCAUCCUUCUCAUUCAAGCCACCGCCAUGGCGCCAUGAGCCCAUGAGUCCCCGCUCCCACCUCAGCGACCUCGUUCUCCUCCCACCACCAUCGGGUGCCCCUCUCCUCCUAUCGCCUUCUCCCGCGGCAGCAGACGGUGCAGAGAUCCCACCGCCUCACGGCCGUCGCAGGCUGCUUGUUUGCAGCGUUGGCACCAACGGCAGCGGCGACAUGGCAGAUGUGUGCGCUGGAGUUGGUGUGUCUAGAGCACCAAUUUGUGCGUGUGCCUCUCGAGUCCCUCAGCGUCACCGUCCGCUCGAACCACCGCCACGCCGAGAUGGAGAUCUCCGUCGUCUUGUCCUCUGCCUCUGCUGCCCCACCGAGAGCAGAGUUGUCACCGUCGACCACUUCGUCUCUCUCGUCUCUCGCUUCCUCGGCUUCAACUCCGUUGUUGUCGUCAUCUUCUUUGCCAUCGCCCGGCGCCACCGUAGAAACCAGCCUCCCCGAGUGAGCUCUUCCGGUCGUACUUGUAUUAUUCGGCCCACUGUCGUGCUACAAGUAUUAGGUUUGUGUUGACUAGAGAUUUAGAAUUCAUUUUUUCAUUGCGGGUGAUCCAUUGCAUGCUCAAGGAUCGGUCUCGAACUUUCGAUUUCCUCAGAGGACUUUGGUUCCGUGUUGAGGGCAUUCAAAUUACUACUAAAAAAUUGGAAGUUCAAGACAGCCCUGAUGCCAUCAGCACCUAGGGAGAAGGAUCCACAAGUUACUACGAGCCCUGCAACGGGGCCUCCUCGGGUGCACACUCUCAUGCCUGUUAAUGCCACAGGAAGUCCUGCCAUGGACCUGAAGCUGGCGCAACCAUCUUGCCCUGGCCAUGUAGUACUCCUGCACCCUUGUGCACCUUGGCCUCCUCAUUUGCUAGUCCCGUUGUUUCUUCCACACCAAAAUGUGGUUCACUCUCUAACCGAAUUUCAAAUCCUCUCUAUUAAUGGGGAACAAUGCCUAUUGUCCUUAUUCUAUUUAUUGAUGGGCAGGAUGCUCUAGUGGAUGUGGCUGCAGCAGAUGUUAACCCUACGACCGAUACCUGUGAUGAGAAGAUGUUUCCCAAGGUGAAUAUGUUGUUCGACGGUGAAAGCGAUGUGUAUGAGUUCUACAAUGCAUAUUCAGAAAACGUGGGUUUUCUUUGUCCGAAGGUCAACGCUGUGGAAGACGUCAAAGAAUAUAAUCACUAGGAGAACUUUUGCGUGUUCGAGAGGGGUUUCGGAAGAAGGGAGCAAAUGAAGCAAAGUGUCCACAUCUUGAAACACGAAUUGGAUGCCCCGCAAGCUUGACCAUUAGACUUACUGCUAAUGGCAAGUACCAUUUGAUAGAGUUUGUGCCGAAUCAUAACCAUCAACUGGCAAUAGCCUCUACAAUUCAUAUGCUGAAAGCGAAGAAAAUCAGGCACAAAGCACGGGUUGUGAGAGAAAAUCUGACAGAUGAUACCGUGAGUACACCAGAUUUUGAGAAUGAAGAUGAGGCAUAUGAAUAUUAUAGUAUGUAUGCAGGGAAAAUUGGGUUUAUCGUGCGUACGGCUGGCAUGACAGUGAAUAAUGAGAAUGUUAUAACCACAAGAAUGCUUGUUUGUUCAAAAGAACGGUUCCGUGAGAAGAAAACAGGAGCAAAAAGAGUAAAGAAACCUCGACAGGAAAUGUGAACUGGUUGUCUAGCAUGUAUGGUCAUCAGGCUUGGAACUAACGGGAAAUAUCGAGUCACAGAACUUGUUACCUUCCACAAUCACUAGCUUGGAGCUGAAGCAGCUUCUGAUCUUGUCAUGGCAUCUGGGAGUAGAGAAAAUGAUCAAGAUAGAUCACCCGAUGAUUCUGUUUACAAGCAAAAUCUGAUUAAUGGAAGUUGCACUCUGAAUUCCCUAGAAGGUACAAGUUGAAAAAGAUACAAGUGUGCAAAUACUCCACACUCAGGUGAUGUUGGUGCUACACUAGAGUACUUGCAGAAGGUGCAGCAUGAUAACCCUUCGUUCUUCUAUGCUGUAAAAUCUGAUGAUGAUGGGAACUUCAUAAUUUUUAUGGGCACAUUCAAAAUCUAUUAUGGACUUUUUCCAUUUUGGUGAUGUAGUAUGUUUUGAUUCAGGAUAUGCAUUGCAAGGUUAUGAUAUGCCAUUGGCUUUGAGUGUGAAUCAUCAUAAGCAGACAAUUAUCUUUGGUGCUGCAAUUAUUCAUGAUGAAAGUAAAGAAGCUUUCCAAUGGUUAUUAGAUACUUUCAAGAUGGCAAUGAAUGGAACACAUCCCAAGACAUUGUUAAUUGAUAGAUCUGUUGCCUUAAAUGAAGCUGUUACAGCCCAUCGUUAUUGUGUGUGGCAAAUUUAUCAAAAUGCUCUACAACAGUUGAGUCAAGCUUUCCAUGGUUCAAAAACUUUAGAUUGCAACUUCAAGAGAUGUCUAUUUGAUUGUGAGGAUGAGUUUGUGACAGCAUGUAAGGAAAUGUUAGAAAAGUAUGACAUAGAAGAUAAUCAAUAGCUAGCAUAUUUGUUCUCAAGAAAGGAGAAAUGGGCACUGACAUAUGGUCGUGAUGCAUUUUAUGUUGAUAUGAAAAGCGUGCAACAAAAGGAAAGUUUGACAAGUGAGCUGAAGAAACAUCUAUCCUUGGAAUGUGACCUUUUGAACUUCUUUGAGCAGUUUGAAAGACUGUUAUGUGAUCGUCAGUCUACAGAGAUGGAGGCUGAACCAAGAGACCACUUUGUUAAAUUUGAUUCACUCAAUUCCACGAUGGACUGUACUUGUAAGACGUUUGAACUUAUUGGCAUCCCAUGUCGCCAUAUGCUGGAGGUACUUGACAUGAGGAAUAUCAAGGACCUUCCUACUCAGUCACCGUGAAAAGGUGGAGGAAGGAUGCCAAAUCAGGAUCCUCAAAUGGUGGCUAUUCUUUCUCAUUUGAUGGUGAUCCUGACUCCUCUCACAUAAAACAUUAUAAUUUGGGAAAUUUGGAUCCAUACCAUUAAAAGAUCACCACUUUGGAUCCAUACCAUUACUAUCUCACUUACAUGUGGGUCCACAUGAGUCAAUGACAUGUGGGAUCCAUGGUAUAUAUCUAAAGUUUGGAUCUUUUAAUGGUAUAGAUCCAAUUGUUCCUUAUAAUUUUUUGUGUCGUAUCUUCAAUAUAGCAGCGGCUAGGGCUGCAACUUUUGUUGAAUCAUUUGCAUAUAUGGAAAACCAGUCAAACAUACUGAUAGAUCAAAUAGAUCAAGUUAUUCAAACCAGCCCCACUGACAUAGCUAAUCUUAUUGGUGCUAAUUUUGAACAAACUCAAAAUUCGGUUGACAAUUUUGUCGCUGAAGGCAUUCAAAGUCAUACUAAUUUUCUUAAUGGCUCCUGUAUUGAAGUAUUGGUUUUCUUUCCAUAUAAAUACUUGUUGCCACCCAGUAAGCGCAUUAUGUGCAUUGUAGGCUCUCUAACAUUUCCAUUCACAUUAGGUGCUGACACAUUAGAUUACAGCUAACUGGUACCUACUGUUAAGAUGGUACUGUAGUACAGAACAAAGUAUUUCUGUUUGUCCAUGAACAACAUUGUGUCAUUUUAAUGUUUCACAAUGAAACCAUGAUUGUAUGGCUGCAUCAUUUACUCGUUACUCUAUCACCUGACCUUCUACCAGAGGAUAUUUCGUUUUCUUCAUUUGCUGACCAAGUCUAUUUAGGCAUGCAGAACGACAUAAUGGAUGUUCUACUAAUCUGUUAGUGACUUCACAUUCACUGCAGAGUUACAAAUAAUGGCAGGUAGGUUUUACAAUUGCUAGAGGUCCAUUUGGUUGUCCUAAGGAAGUAAUAUCAGAGACAACUUAUACACAACAUCUCACCUCCAUGCGAAACUACUCAACAAUUUUAGGCCUGAUAUUGUAUUUUUCUUAACCUAUCACCCAAUGAAAGAAAGGCAUUUCUUCUCCAGUACUCAUGGUAUGUACUUGAUGGGAAAGGAUGCUUCAUGAGGUAGUGCCCAAUAGAUCACCUGGUUUUCUCGCCUGGUGAUUGUGUACAGGAUGUUCCUGGUAAUUUGAGGGACUCCGCCUGUGUUGCCAGUUUAACAAGGUGAUGAUGUUGAGUGUAACCAACACGAGCCCUUCUCAUUUCUAACUAGUGUUGUACGCCUGUACCGUAAUAUUAUUGCUACUGUUGUUAUUACCCUUUAUAAUCUAGGAUUUUCUAUGGUUGCAUAAUUUUGAUGUGUUUAAUCUUGAAUUUGCUGUUAUAUAAAUAUUUCU